This 1607-nucleotide long non-coding RNA is filed under the name Homo sapiens (human). RNAcentral describes it as "long non-coding RNA NONHSAT189685.1". The record is from RNAcentral. Lineage: Eukaryota; Metazoa; Chordata; Mammalia; Primates; Hominidae.
AAGCGGGGGCGGGGCCCGGAGGGAGUCUGGGAGGGCCCGAAAGUUUGCCCAAGUCGCUGGGGCGGCCGGCCGGGGUGCAAGCAGUCGGGCCGGGCUCCCACGACCCCCGCGCGGGGCGGGCCCAGGCAGGAAGUGGGCGCACUUACUGGCCCCCUCGAUCUUGUCGGCGCCCCGGCUCCACGUGAUCUGGCGCGUCUCCAGCUUGACCUGGAAGGUCUUCCGCUCGGGUCGCUGCGACUUCUUGGAGUAGAACAAAGUCAUGACGGUGCCCACCUCGAGGCUGCGGCAGACGGCACAGGCCAGGACCGCCCGGGAGCAAGCGCAACGGCGGCGGCUGAGCACCGCCAAAAUUGAGGACACCCACGGUCGCGGUGGAGCCUGUCUGACAUGUUGAGCCAGGCAGUGGGUCGGCUGCCAGGCACAGCAGGACAACUUACUGCAUUUCAGAGGAAUGAUGGUCCACAAUUUACUGAUGAGGAAACAGAGAUUCAGAGAAGUUCUACAAUUUGCCCCAAAGCCACAUAACAUGACUAGGUGGGAACUAGAACCCAAGUCGGCCUGACUCCAUGAGUUUUCUGCCUCACAGGAGAUCCACUGGCUUAGAGUUUCUCUCUCGUCGCCCAGGCUGGCGUGCAAUGGCACAAUCUUGGCUCACUGCAAUCUCCGCCUCCCGAGUUCAAGCAGUCCUGCCUCAGCCUCCUGAGUCUCUUUUGAUUUGGUGCUGUCACAGGUUGGGUUCUUUGGAUGUGGACUCUGUGACAGGAUAUGGACUUUGGAUCCUCUUUGGCUGGCUGGGCUUCUGCACCAAGGAUCUAGGAUUCUCUCAAAUAAGCUGAGAUGGAGGUGGAGGCAGAAGCCGGAAACCAGCCAAGUAACCUUGUUAUCAUGCCGGACUUCUUUCCACUUAUGUCCUGGAGGAGGAGAAGGAACCUUGGCAUCUCUGGAAAUAACAGAGCACGAGGAUAGUGAAAUAAGAGGCCCCAAAGUGUGAAAGUGGUGAUGUUGGCAAUUUGGAUAUGCCAUACAGAAGCUGCACAGAGUGCUUUAAAUGAAAAGGUGGAAAUUAUCGACUUAAUAAAAAAAACUGUAUGGUGAAGUUGCUAAGAUCUAAGGCAGCCUGUAGAAGAAAAAUGACAUCCCAGCUGGAUACCAGAAAGAUCCUUCAGUAAUGAGGAUGGCCAAGGCUGGAAGAUGGAGAUGGAUGAGCAUCACAAGAUUCCAGAGUAAAAUAGAUCAAAGAGCAGGGAGGUACAUGGCCAAUAUGAUUUCAUCUGUCUUAAAUCCUUAAUAUCCAGUAGCCACUGUGGGACAGGUCUGCCCAUCCUUAAUUACUAUAUUAUUGGCUGGAGUUACUGACUGGUUUUUAGGUCACUGAAGCACCAAGAUUCCUGUACAGAGCUACUGAGCAAAGUACUUGUUCACAAUUUUCAGUCUAACUAAAACCUUUAAGAAAAUUUAGACUUUGAGAACUCUAAGUCUUUAGCAUAGAAUGAUGUGAAAUUACUGAUGUUAAUGUUGUGUCAUAAGAACCAAGAAGAAAGUUAAAUGAACCAAUCACAAUUCCAGAAUUCUCCAGAGGUUUAAUAAAUUCUGUAGUACCAGUUUCU